Molecule: ribosomal RNA, 497 nt
Filed under: uncultured bacterium
Lineage: Bacteria
Description: partial 16S ribosomal RNA
Rfam family: Bacterial small subunit ribosomal RNA
Source: RNAcentral
GAUGAACGCUGGCGGCGUGCCUAAUACAUGCAAGUCGAGCGAACGGACGAGAAGCUUGCUUCUCUGAUGUUAGCGGCGGACGGGUGAGUAACACGUGGAUAACCUACCUAUAAGACUGGGAUAACUUCGGGAAACCGUAGCUAAUACCGGAUAAUAUUUUGAACCGCAUGGUUCAAAAGUGAAAGACGGUCUUGCUGUCACUUAUAGAUGGAUCCGCGCUGCAUUAGCUAGUUGGUAAGGUAACGGCUUACCAAGGCGACGAUGCAUAGCCGACCUGAGAGGAGGAUCGGCGACACUGGAACUGAGACACGGACCAGACGACUACGGGAGGCAGCAGUAGGGAAUCUUCCGAAAUGGGCGAGAGCCUGACGGAGCAACGCCGCGUGAGUGAUGAAGGUCUUCGGAUCGUAAAACUCUGUUAUUAGGGAAGAACAUAUGUGUAAGUAACUGUACACAUCUUGACGGUACCUAAUCAGAAAGCCACGGCUAACUACGUG